GAUGAACGCUGGCGGCGUGCUUAACACAUGCAAGUCGAACGAUGAAGCCCAGCUUGCUGGGUGGAUUAGUGGCGAACGGGUGAGUAACACGUGAGUAACCUGCCCUUAACUCUGGGAUACGCCUGGGAAACUGGGUCUAAUACCGGAUAGGAGCGCCUACCGCAUGGUGGGUGUUGGAAAGAUUUAUCGGUUUUGGAUGGACUCGCGGCCUAUCAGCUUGUUGGUGAGGUAAUGGCUCACCAAGGCGACGACGGGUAGCCGGCCUGAGAGGGUGACCGGCCACACUAGGACUGAGACACGGCCCAGACUGCUACGGUAGGCAGAAGUGGGGAAUAUUGUACAGUGGGCGAGAGCCUGAUGCAGAGACGCCGCGUGAGGGAUGCCGGCCUUCUGGUUGUAAACCUCUUUCAGUAGGGAAGAAGCGAAAGUGACGGUACCUGCAGAAGAAGCACCGGCUAACUACGUG
RNAcentral lists this ribosomal RNA (466 nucleotides) under uncultured bacterium. RNAcentral's name for it is "partial 16S ribosomal RNA". It matches the Rfam family "Bacterial small subunit ribosomal RNA", at positions 28 to 507 of the family's 1533-position model. The record is from RNAcentral.